This 197-nucleotide ribosomal RNA is filed under the name uncultured bacterium. RNAcentral's name for it is "partial 16S ribosomal RNA". It matches the Rfam family "Bacterial small subunit ribosomal RNA", at positions 328 to 539 of the family's 1533-position model. The record is from RNAcentral.
ACGCUCGACACCUACGGGGGCAGCAGUGGGGAAUAUUGCACAAUGGGGGAAACCCUGAUGCAGCGAUGCCGCGUGAAGGAAGAAGUAUCUCGGUAUGUAAACUUCUAUCAGCAGGGAAGAAAAUGACGGUACCUGACUAAGAAGCCCCGGCUAACUACGCGCCAGCAGCCGCGGUAAUCUGAGCGGGCUGGCAAGGC